This 253-nucleotide ribosomal RNA is filed under the name uncultured bacterium. RNAcentral's name for it is "partial 16S ribosomal RNA". It matches the Rfam family "Bacterial small subunit ribosomal RNA", at positions 524 to 776 of the family's 1533-position model. The record is from RNAcentral.
GACAGAGGUGCCGAGCGUUAGGCGGAAUCACUGGGCUUAAAGCGUGUGUAGGCGGGUCGUUAAGUACCUUGUGAAAUCCCACGGCUCAACCGUGGAACCGCUGGGUGUACUGGCGAUCUUGAGAGACCUAGGGGUCACCGGAACAGGCGGUGGAGCGGUGAAAUGCGUAGAUAUCGCCUGGAGCGCCGGCGGCGAAAGCGGGUGACUGGAGGUCUUCUGACGCUGAGACACGAAAGCCAGGGGAGCGAACGGG